GAUGAACGCUGGCGGCGUGCCUAAUACAUGCAAGUCGAGCGAACAGACGAGGAGCUUGCUCCUCUGACGUUAGCGGCGGACGGGUGAGUAACACGUGGAUAACCUACCUAUAAGACUGGGAUAACUUCGGGAAACCGGAGCUAAUACCGGAUAAUAUAUUGAACCGCAUGGUUCAAUAGUGAAAGACGGUUUUGCUGUCACUUAUAGAUGGAUCCGCGCCGCAUUAGCUAGUUGGUAGGGUAACGGCUUACCAAGGCGACGAUGCGUAGCCGACCUGAGAGGGUGAUCGGCCACACUGGAACUGAGACACGGUCCAGACUCCUACGGGAGGCAGCAGUAGGGAAUCUUCCGCAAUGGGCGAAAGCCUGACGGAGCAACGCCGCGUGAGUGAUGAAGGUCUUCGGAUCGUAAAACGCUGUUAUUAGGGAAGAACAAAUGUGUAAGUAACUAUGCACGUCUUGACGGUACCUAAUCAGAAAGCCACGGCUAACUACGU
RNAcentral lists this ribosomal RNA (496 nucleotides) under uncultured bacterium. Its description in RNAcentral is "partial 16S ribosomal RNA". It matches the Rfam family "Bacterial small subunit ribosomal RNA", at positions 28 to 506 of the family's 1533-position model. The record is from RNAcentral.